Bos taurus (domestic cattle) is the source of this 1232-nucleotide long non-coding RNA. The record is from Ensembl. Lineage: Eukaryota; Metazoa; Chordata; Mammalia; Artiodactyla; Bovidae.
GGGGUUCUGGGAUUUCUCCCCACUUGCUCCAGGGGCAGCUUCCUCGUCUACCCGUGUCCUGUAGCCCACACUGUUCACCCUUCACUUGUCCCAAACCUGGAGGGGCCUGUGGGGCUGAGCAGGAGGCAAUCGUGGGACCAGGAACUGGCUCCCAUCUGCAGCCACCCCUGGGCACCUGGGAAUGUGGGGGGUCACCGGGCAAACACUCUAAUCGGCAUCACAGCCCCCCAGCCUCCAGGCCUCUCCUGACCUAGGACCCCAUGGACCCCAGGAGAGGAAGCUGACUUGGGAGCCGCCCACCUUGCUGGCCGCCGCGGGCACCCACCUCCUUCUCAGACCUGAGUCUCGGUUUCCAGGUCAGGUCCUGGCCUUCCUGUGCCCCGGGGCUGUGCUCCGCCCAGAGUCAUGUCCCUUUCGCUGGUGCUAGAACACGUAGGGAGGGCCCCUGCCUGCCCCUGGGAAUGCUCAUGGCUCUUCUGGGGACACUGCCCUCCUGGUGCCGACAGGCACCCUCCAUCGUCAGUGUCAGGACUGGGGGCUGCUGGGCAUGGGGUUCCCAGCCGGGCUGUGAAGGGGGGGGAUCCCAGGGAGCUGUUAACAUCUGCUGCCCAGCACACACCCCAUCAAUCCAACCAGGGCAGUGAGCGCGGAUCCUCCAGGGCAUGGGGAAGCUCCCAGCAGCGUCAGAGGUGCUGCUGGGGGCGGGGAGGUGGGGGGGGGGGUGUCUCUGGUUUUGUUUCUGAGAAACUCACCCAGAACCAGUGGGAAGCCCAGUCUGGCUGCCCAGAUGCUGAGUCUGCUUUUCAGCAGGAGGCCGAGGAUUCCGUGCCCAGCCGCGGGUUCGGUGGGCUGCUUGCUGAGAACCUGGGGAUCAGCUUGAGGGAGCGGCCACGUCCACUCUAAGAAAGGCAGCCCCCACCCUCAUUCGCCAUCGUAUCAGCUCCCUGGAGCUGCCGUAAGCACAGACAUGGGGCCUUCAGGCAACAGAGAUCCAGCCCCUCACGUUCCAAGGUCAGGGUUGGAAACCCAGGUGUCUGCAGGGUUGUCCCCUCCUGGAGACUCAGGGAGGCCCUGCUCCAGCCUGGCCUCCAGUUCCAGGGGCCCUGCACGUCCUCCACUCGCAGCCACGUCAUGCCAUCACUACACAGCCUCCUCCUCCCGCCGUGUUUCCUGUAGGGACACCUGUCCCUGGACUUAGGACUGACCCUGGUAACCAGGACCAUCUCAUCUCA